This 965-nucleotide long non-coding RNA is filed under the name Setaria viridis. RNAcentral's name for it is "long non-coding RNA (SVIR_LNC011300)". The record is from RNAcentral. Lineage: Eukaryota; Viridiplantae; Streptophyta; Magnoliopsida; Poales; Poaceae.
GGUGUUUGUGUAGGUUCAGAUACUACAGCUUGUGUGUAGGUUCAGAUAUAGCUUGUACUUUCAUAAGGUAUAAAAAACUAGAAAAUGCACCAAAGCAGACAAGAUCAUUUGCUAACGUGGUGUAUCAUAUAUAAUUAUCACUUGCGUUUGCUUUAAGUCAAUAAAUUAUCUUACCAUAUCAUCAAAUAAAACUCUAUCUUGGCACGUUGUCAAAUUUGCUGAUGCAUGUGUAAUAGAAAGUUCUGCCACUGUCUUGGUUAUCUUCUUCGACCCAUUACACUUAUCGUCGAAGUGACCGAGCUCACUAUAAAUUGCACUGAGGGAUAAACUUGCGGCGUUACUCUUUGUCGUCUUUCAUUUUUGCCAUUGCUGCCGCAGCCCACGUCACCCAGCUCCUUUUCAACAUCUUUAGCCUCUCACUCUACAUAUGUGAGCCGCAGGUGUGCAACCAGCAGCUACGACUUCCCUCCUUAUCAUGAAGCCACCCUCUCUGAGGAUUCCUCGACUUGCCCUCAAGCAUGUGAUACCGAUAGUCCCCAUCACUUACAUCUUCAUCGCAUCAUAUUGUUUUCGAUAGUGCUCAACUACUCAUAAGGGGUAAGAACUUAUCAAGAACAUAUUGCAAAGAGCUUCUCGAUGACAAUUGUGUCCUUCAUUUUUCGUGCAAAGAGAGCUUAUCACAUUUAUGACCAUAGCAACCUUUAAAGCAAAUUCAUUAAUCUUUACAGAUUCAAUGAUGUACAUAGCAUCAAGCUCCCUUUGAAGGGUUUAUACUCAUGCCUUUCUUAACAUGCUCUUCAUCAACAUGAAUCUCUUUGAGAGCAUCCCUUGCCAUGACCAUGGCCUCUAGAUAUGGUUUGGACAAUGGUGGCAACAUCUAUUUGGCCCAUCUUCUUAUCAAAUGUAUUGGCCUCCCCGCACCUCAUAGUUGCUCUCAGUAAUGUACUUGCCCCACCCCCUUCCCC